This 666-nucleotide long non-coding RNA is filed under the name Volvox carteri. RNAcentral's name for it is "long non-coding RNA (VCAR_LNC001723)". The record is from RNAcentral. Lineage: Eukaryota; Viridiplantae; Chlorophyta; Chlorophyceae; Chlamydomonadales; Volvocaceae.
UAAUUACCUUACUCAGGAUCAAGAGUCCCUGGCUGUGCUAUAGUUGGCUCCAACCCGACCCUACUCUCUAACCCCAUAGGCCAAAUCUCUAAAGAUGCUUAAGAGGUAAUAUCACAAUGGAAGUCAAUGAUGAUUUUGUGGGUGGAUUUGGGAUGCAGCCCACGCAGCCGUCGGACAAUAGGCGCCGGAUGCACGAGGUCCAGCUGCAGCUAUGAUGCAGCCAACGAAUGACAAGUGAGUGGCAUCAUCAGCCAUUGCACUGGUUCAUUAGAUGAGCGGUACAUUUUAAACGUGCCCAGCAACGUUUGCAGUGCUGCUGGUGAUAAGGCCACCAAAGCGUUUGAGGAAUUCCUGGCCGUCAUUGGAAUGGAAUAUGACGACUUUGCCGAGUUCUAUGGCAACUUGGCAACAAAGGACUUCACCAUCGCGACCACGCUCCUCAUGCCAUGGCUGCACACCUGGGCAGCACCAAACCCAAGCAACAACCCAAAGUAUGAUGUUGUCUCAUGCGAAGUAGUAAAAUUUGGCUUGCAUGUUAGACAAUGCAACUGCUUGCUUGCAUGAUCUGCAGGACUCAAAUGAGGGGGUUGCAACCCCAUAUGGUAAACUUGCUUCAGCAGGCAUGUGUACAGAAGCGAGAAACGGGAGCUGCAGACGGCAUCAUCC